AUGGGGCUGGGCUUCUUGAUUGGCAUCAAUCCUGCCAAGGCAGAAGAAUUAAUCUGGCUAGAUCCUCCGUGCAGGAUGAGCAACGCUAACCCUCAUGUCUCUUCCUUCCUAAGGGACCUUCAGGGCCUCAAGGACCAACAGGAUUUCCUGGACCCAAAGGCCCCCCGGGUCCACCAGGAAAAGACGGAUUGCCAGGCCAUCCUGGGCAGAGAGGUGAAACGGGCUUCCAAGGGAAGACAGGUCCACCUGGACCCCCAGGUGUUGUUGGUCCACAGGUGAGCCAUUCCCCAGAUUCUCUGGCCCAAAUUCCUUCCCCCCCCCCCCCCCUUUCCCCUGUUGUCUCUCCAAUUACUUUCUAAUUUCCAGAAACUCUGCCAGGUUAAUGACAGUUUAAAUUCUGUAUCGCAGGGUAAAUAACAUGUUUAUGUCUGCUUUCUGUGUUAUAAAAGUCUACC
Molecule: long non-coding RNA, 455 nt
Filed under: Pseudonaja textilis
Lineage: Eukaryota; Metazoa; Chordata; Lepidosauria; Squamata; Elapidae
Description: lncRNA (ENSPTXG00000008367.1)
Source: RNAcentral